Molecule: long non-coding RNA, 702 nt
Organism: Benincasa hispida (wax gourd)
Lineage: Eukaryota; Viridiplantae; Streptophyta; Magnoliopsida; Cucurbitales; Cucurbitaceae
Source: RefSeq, a predicted model, not a curated record
GGGACCUCUGGUUGCGUGCAAAAGAAAAAAAAAAAGAGAAAAAUUCUUUUUCUUUUUUUCUCUUAUUCUUCCUGCGUCUAGACUCGCAAAACGCCCCUUCACAGUGCUCGUCCGCCGUCGCCUCCUCGAGCCUUAGCCCAACAUGCCUCACCUUCGUCCACCGUCCGCCGCUCGACCGUAGGUUCCGGUCGUUUCAGCCGCGCCGAGUUCUUCGAUUUUUCUUUUCUCUUUUCCAUUCGCCGACCGUUUCGGUUCUGCCAAGAACGUGGUUUUGGAUUUCAAGACAUUUUUUCGGUAUUGUCCAGCAGCAUCAAAUUUCGCUUAGGCGCCUUUUGGUUUUGAAACCUUUCAGCUUGGCUUAGGACUGUUUCAGAUUUCGUCCUUGGAGCUCAGUGAAGGUCUGUUAUGUCGACUUUCUUUUGGGGCAAUUCGAGCGUUUGGUUGCUAACUGUUCGACAUAAUUUCGAGGUAAAGGUAAUGAUAGACCGACGCAUGACAAGAGAGAUCCGUGACCUGCGCAUUUAGUAUAAUGUUUUGGAGUCUGGUUUAGGAGUUAGGCGUUUUAAACUCUCAUGCAAAAUUUAUUAAUUUUAUUAUUUGACUAUUUAAUUGUUUUCAUUUUAAAGUUGGGUUUAGGGGUACCCUGAAUGAUAAAUUUUUAUUUUAGUUUAUUUAUUAUUAUUAUUUAAUUAUGUUUUCUUA